UUGACCUCGGAUCAGGUAGGGAUACCCGCUGAACUUAAGCAUAUCAAUAAGCGGAGGAAAAGAAACCAACAGGGAUUGCCUUAGUAACGGCGAGUGAAGCGGCAAUAGCUCAAAUUUGAAAGCUGGCGUCUUCGACGUCCGCGUUGUAAUUUGUAGAGGAUGCUUCGGCGAAGACUCCUGCCUAAGUCCCCUGGAACGGGGCGUCAUAGAGGGUGAGAAUCCCGUAUGUGGCGGGCAGUCUAAGCCAUGUGAAGCUCCUUCGACGAGUCGAGUUGUUUGGGAAUGCAGCUCUAAAUGGGAGGUAAAUUUCUUCUAAAGCUAAAUAUUGGCCAGAGACCGAUAGCGCACAAGUAGAGUGAUCGAAAGAUGAAAAGCACUUUGGAAAGAGAGUUAAAAAGUACGUGAAAUUGUUGAAAGGGAAGCGCUUGCAACCAGACUCGCUCGUAGUUGCUCAGCCGGCCUCUUGGCCGGUGCACUCUUCUACGAUCGGGCCAGCAUCAGUUCGGGCGGCAGGAUAAAGGUGUCGGGAAUGUAGCACCCUUCGGGGUGUGUUAUAGCCCGGCGCGGAAUGCUGCCAGCCUGGACUGAGGAUCUCGCUUCGGCAAGGAUGCUAGCGUAAUGGUUGUAAGCGGCCCGUCUU
RNAcentral lists this ribosomal RNA (640 nucleotides) under Guignardia alliacea. Its description in RNAcentral is "eukaryotic LSU rRNA". It matches the Rfam family "Eukaryotic large subunit ribosomal RNA", at positions 1 to 655 of the family's 3401-position model. Lineage: Eukaryota; Fungi; Ascomycota; Dothideomycetes; Botryosphaeriales; Phyllostictaceae. The record is from RNAcentral.